UUGAAUGUCGCGGUUGCACACAUUUGUACGGAAUGGGGUGAGUUUACGUUACUUGCUCGUGCUAGUUUUAGAGAAAACUGCUGUGGAAAACUCGGCUUGAAGCUAGCAAGUGUCAAGUGAAUCCACAACAUCACCAAAAACGUAUUUUCAAGCCAGGGUUCGUGAUUGUCGACAGGUGGACAGCGACAGCGACUUCGAAGAGGAAACAACUGUCCUGGAUGAGGUCCAGUUGGAUGUGCCAUUGGAUGAUGUGCCAGAUGUUCCACAGCUGCCAGUCCUCCUUGAUGUCCAGAAUGCUGCUAUCAUCCUUGAGGAUGUGCCAGAUGUGCAGACUAUCCUUGAGCACUACUAUCCUAAUCUGUAUUUUUGUGCGCCGAUUUGCCGUUUUUUUUGUUUUUUUUUACACCUUUAUUUAAUCUUUAUUUAACUAGGCAAGUCAGUUAAGAACACAUUCUUAUUUUCAAUGACGGCCUAGGAACG
Molecule: long non-coding RNA, 480 nt
Organism: Salvelinus namaycush (lake trout)
Lineage: Eukaryota; Metazoa; Chordata; Actinopteri; Salmoniformes; Salmonidae
Exons: 3
Source: RefSeq, a predicted model, not a curated record